GAUCCUGGCUCAGGACGAACGCUGGCGGCGUGCUUAACACAUGCAAGUCGAACGAGAAUCUACUGAAAGAGUUUUCGGACAAUGGAAGUAGAGGAAAGUGGCGGACGGGUGAGUAACGCGUGAGGAACCUGCCUUGAAGAGGGGGACAACAGUUGGAAACGACUGCUAAUACCGCAUAAGCCCACGGGUCGGCAUCGAUCUGAGGGAAAAGGAGCAAUCCGCUUUGAGAUGGCCUCGCGUCCGAUUAG
Molecule: ribosomal RNA, 248 nt
Filed under: uncultured bacterium
Lineage: Bacteria
Description: partial 16S ribosomal RNA
Rfam family: Bacterial small subunit ribosomal RNA
Source: RNAcentral